Long non-coding RNA from Trichoplusia ni (cabbage looper), 1420 nucleotides. RefSeq lists it as uncharacterized. The record is from RefSeq and is a predicted model, not a curated record. The transcript is spliced from 2 exons. NCBI's taxonomy places the organism in Eukaryota, Metazoa, Arthropoda, Insecta, Lepidoptera, Noctuidae.
CUUAUUUAUAUGUUGUGUUUGUAUUGUUUUGUAAUUGUUUGUGUUACCGUGUGAUAUUAACUUUUCGUUUUGGGUCAUAAAUCAAACUUUUAAGAAUAGAUAUAUUUAAUAACUAAAGUGAAUGAGAUUGCUACAUCAUAGUACACAAAUGCAAUAAAAUGUAAUAUGGAACUAAUAUUUGUAUAACAGAUGUAUUAAAAUGUUGUGUAUUGUAAACAAUUGUUAUGUAUUCAUACUAACAGUUAAAUACUUAAGAAUAUUACAUUCUUUAUAAAAAAAUUGCAAUCUGUUGUAACUACACUUGCAUGCAUUAUUAGAUAUCUAAAUAUUAGGGCAGCAGCUGUAUCUGCGUUCUUCCGAUGUUAUGUCAAGUAUAUACCUCUACCUACAGCAGUAUUUUUAGCGUAACUGUGUUAUUUAAGAAUAAAUAAAGUUGUGUAAUUAUUUGUUGUUUUUUAUUUAAAUUCCUGAUCGUAAUCUAUUACAAGAAAAGUGUUAAUUGAAAAUUGUUGAUAUAAAUAAUAAAAGUUUGGGGCAGCGCGAUUGCUGAAUGGUUGAACGGAAAGUAAAUCUGCGUGUAUCGAAACGCAACUCGAUGACACUGGCAAGUCAGCUUGACGGAUGACGGGUAACAACAAAAAUAAACAGUGAAAAUAAAUAAACUUUCCGUUAUUACAGAGUUACUGUAAAGCUUCUGAGAGACUUUUGUGAUAAACCUAAUAGUGUGUAAGUGAAACUAUGUGUUAAUAUUAGUGUAUGUCACAUAACCUCAAAAUUUUACCGAGUUACAAAAGUUUAUGAAUUCGAUGUGUUGUUACAGUUUGAGUAAAUCCAUAAAUACUUUUAAAAUUUAAAUUAGUUCGUGUUCUCUUUUUGAAUUGACGGUGAGUUUCGUCCAGUUCCUAUUGCCAGGAUUCGUUUUAGAGCAUUUAUCUGAGAAUAUUGUCAAACCUAUGAAAGCAGAAUUCAAAGAGAAAUUGAAUAGACUUGUGGGACGCAAGAAAAGCAACAGUGCCUACCUAAUUGAUGCUGCAAGGUACCAGGACUUCAUAAGGGAGGUGAAAGAAAUUAAACACAAAUGGAGAAAGACUUUUGAAGACUAUAAAAUGCUUGCUAAUUAUGAUAUCCUGAUAGUCAAUGACCGAGAAAGGUUGAUACAACCUCGGAAUGAAUCAAACCCUACUAUUAAGUUCUAUGUACCAAUGGAUGAGUUAUUUGGUGUUUUACAUACUAUGCAUCUAUUGUUUAAGCAUGCAAAUAAAGAUUUAAUGGAUACUGAAAUAAAAUCAAAGUAUUGUAAUGUCUCCAAAGAAGUUAUUAAAUUGUAUUUAAGCUGUUGUACCAGGUGUAAAGAUAAGAAAUAAGUGCCUUUUGUACAAUAAAUUUUAAAUAAAUAUUGUAAAUGAUUGUUUUUUUUAGA